Aegilops tauschii subsp. strangulata is the source of this 715-nucleotide long non-coding RNA. RefSeq lists it as uncharacterized. The record is from RefSeq and is a predicted model, not a curated record. Lineage: Eukaryota; Viridiplantae; Streptophyta; Magnoliopsida; Poales; Poaceae.
CCUUCCUGGCUACUUGCCCGAGCACCAGAGCCCCUCCCUGACCCUCAUCGCCGCCAUGGCCGUCGCCUCUGACCUCUUAAAUUCGGUCAAGCCAAGCUCCCUCCCUCCUCCAUUCCACCACCAGAGAUCCACCCUCUCACCAGCGCACCUCCCCUUCUCUCAGUUCGUCGGUGGAUCGACCAUGGCCUCGACCCCAACUCCGGCCGAGCCACCAUCCGCCGUAGCCCACACCACUGCCGUUUCCGAGCUUCCCGGUGACCGUGCUACCCUGGAACGGGUCGGCCUCGUCGCCCUGAGCACGUGGGUAGGUCGGGCGUCGCCGGAGACGGCCGGUAGCUCCGGCUAUCGCCGUCGAGCGCCGCCUCUACCGCGGCUGCGCGCGGGCAACGGAGGAAGAAGACGACCCCAGGCCAGGCUGGCCCCACCUUCCGCGAGGUCCACCCGUCAGCCGCACGAGGAGUUGACCCCGGGCGCUGACGUGGAUAAGUGGCCGCGUAUUUCGCGGAAUACGCUUUCACCAAAGCGAAAGCGUAUUUUCCCUCUGCUUCAGCUCAAAGGACCUGGCUGUGAAUAUUAUUUUUACAGAAAAGUCCCUGAUGUUCCAACCCUCAUAUCUCCGCAACCGUAACUCCGAUUGAGCCCCCUCCGAGAGAGUACCCUUUCCGGCGAUCUUUCCGCGGUUGUUUCGCACUUCUCCCCGGAGCCUUCUUCAUCC